CAGCCGCCGCGGGAAUACGUAGGUGGCAAGCGUUAUCCGGAAUUAUUGGGCGUAAAGCGCGCGUAGGCGGUUUUUUAAGUCUGAUGUGAAAGCCCACGGCUCAACCGUGGAGGGUCAUUGGAAACUGGAAAACUUGAGUGCAGAAGAGGAAAGUGGAAUUCCAUGUGUAGCGGUGAAAUGCGCAGAGAUAUGGAGGAACACCAGUGGCGAAGGCGACUUUCUGGUCUGUAACUGACGCUGAUGUGCGAAAGCGUGGGGAUCAAACAGGAUUAGAUACCCGAGUAGUCCCUGUCUCUUAUAC
Molecule: ribosomal RNA, 301 nt
Filed under: uncultured bacterium
Lineage: Bacteria
Description: partial 16S ribosomal RNA
Rfam family: Bacterial small subunit ribosomal RNA
Source: RNAcentral